Molecule: long non-coding RNA, 1179 nt
Organism: Pongo pygmaeus (Bornean orangutan)
Lineage: Eukaryota; Metazoa; Chordata; Mammalia; Primates; Hominidae
Exons: 2
Source: RefSeq, a predicted model, not a curated record
GUGUGUUUUGUUCAACUCUGUCCAAGACACCAAGAACCUGGACCAUUCACAGUCAAGACCUUCCAUCCAGUAAAAUGAGAAUGGAACGUCCCGGUCUUGCCUGAAGACUCCGCAUGGAGGUCAUUUCACAUCAUUCCACACAAAGACACAGCUUCAGCAUCGAUCCUCCCCGAGGGCCAGCACUCCACAUUUAUCUUAACUUUUAUAGUUCUAAGGAACAAGGACCCUGAGUCUGUUUCUCAGCCCUGCUGCUAAUCAGAAUGCGAUGUUCCUAAUGAAGCCUAAAAUAAUGUUUUUAAAAGGACAUGAUUCUCCCCAGACCACACGACUCUUGUGAGUGACUGACCAAUGACAUCUCCAGCCCCUGUGAACAUUCUCCUGUCUCCUGAACAUGAUUACUGAGAAAAAUUCCUAAACUUUCCUUGCUUCAGGACAGCACCCAAUCCACAGCUGACACCACUUCCUCUGAUCUCUCCUUAGACUCACUGAGCAUAAGCACGAGCCCUAAACAAAGCCCCUUCUAGUCCCUCUUCCUGAGCUGCUCCUCUGUCCUCCAUAGCAUGCAGUCUCCCUUGCUACAGCAAGUUAAUAAAACUAACUUUGGGCCAGGUGCGGUGGCUCACACCUGUAAUCCCAGCACUUUGGGAGGCCGAGGUGGGAGGAUCACGAGGUCAGGAGUUCGAGCCUAGCCUGGCCAACAUGGUGAAACCCCGUCUCUAUUAAAAAUACAAAAAAAUUAGCCAGGCGUGGUGGUGCAUGCCUAUAAUCUUAGCUACUCAGGAGGCUGAGACAGAAGAAUUGCUUGAACCCAGGAGGCAGAGGUUGCAGUGAGCUGAGAUUGCACCACUGCACUCCAGCCUGGGUGACAGAGCGAGACUCUGUCUCAGGAAAAAAAAAAACAAAAAAACUUUGACCACAUGUGUAUUCCUGGUUGUCUUUUUCUGAUGGGCUUUAUCAUAAUAACUGGGUUCAAGCCAUUUCCUCUCCAUGAGGUCAAUUUGUAAACAGAUACUAAUUUCCAUAUGAUUACUACAUGCCAAGCACUAUGGUAUAUAAUUUGCGCUGCAUAUUUUAUUCAAUUUUUCGAGAAUCUGUGAAGAAGGUAUCAUUCCCUCAUUUUACAGAGGAGGAAACUAAGGCUCAAUAGUACACUGCUAAUAAACAAGAGGUGGAAUUAAA